UGAGGAAUAUUGGUCAAUGGGCGAGAGCCUGAACCAGCCAAGUAGCGUGCAGGAUGACGGCCCUAUGGGUUGUAAACUGCUUUUAUAUGGGAAUAAAGUGAGGGACGUGUCCCUUAUUGCAUGUACCAUAUGAAUAAGGACCGGCUAAUUCCGUGCCAGCAGCCGCGGUAAUACGGAAGGUUCGGGCGUUAUCCGCAUUUAUUGGGUUUAAAGGGAGCGUAGGCCGUUUGGUAAGCGUGUUGUGAAAUGUAGGAGCUCAACUUCUAGAUUGCAGCGCGAACUGUCAGACUUGAGUGCGCACAACGUAGGCGGAAUUCAUGGUGUAGCGGUGAAAUGCUUAGAUAUCAUGAAGAACUCCGAUUGCGAAGGCAGCUUACGGGAGCGCAACUGACGCUGAAGCUCGAAGGUGCGGGUAUCGAACAGG
This 424-nucleotide ribosomal RNA is filed under the name Verrucomicrobiota bacterium. RNAcentral's name for it is "Verrucomicrobia bacterium partial 16S ribosomal RNA". It matches the Rfam family "Bacterial small subunit ribosomal RNA", at positions 355 to 776 of the family's 1533-position model. Lineage: Bacteria; Pseudomonadati; Verrucomicrobiota. The record is from RNAcentral.